UGAGCAACCUGCCCUUGACUCUGGGAUAACCCCGGGAAACCAGAGCUAAUACCGGAUACGAACCGCACAGGCAUCUGAGCGGUUGGAAAGAACUUCGGUCAAGGAUGGGCUCGCGGCCUAUCAGCUUGUUGGUGAGGUAACGGCCCACCAAGGCGACGACGGGUAGCCGGCCUGAGAGGGCGACCGGCCACACUGGGACUGAGACACGGCCCAGACUCCUACGGGAGGCAG
RNAcentral lists this ribosomal RNA (231 nucleotides) under uncultured bacterium. RNAcentral describes it as "partial 16S ribosomal RNA". It matches the Rfam family "Bacterial small subunit ribosomal RNA", at positions 118 to 351 of the family's 1533-position model. The record is from RNAcentral.